Molecule: ribosomal RNA, 465 nt
Filed under: uncultured bacterium
Lineage: Bacteria
Description: bacterial SSU rRNA
Rfam family: Bacterial small subunit ribosomal RNA
Source: RNAcentral
AACGAACGUUGGCGGCGUGGAUUAGGCAUGCAAGUCGGGGGAAUCCCAGCAAUGGGGGAACCGGCGUAAGGGGCAGUAAGGCAUGGGUACCUACCCUGAAGUUCGGGAUAGCCAUCAGAGAUGGUGGGUAAUACCGGAUGAUGUCGUGAGACCAAAGAUUUAUCGCUUUGGGAGGGGCCCAUGUGAUAUUAGCUAGUUGGUGAGGUAAUGGCUCACCAAGGCGAAGAUGUCUAGCGGGUAUGAGAGUACGACCCGCGCCACUCGCACUGAGACACUGGCGAGACACCUACGGGUGGCUGCAGUCGAGGAUCUUCGGCAAUGGGCGAAAGCCUGACCGAGCGACGCCGCGUGCGCGAUGAAGGCCUUCGGGUUGUAAAGCGCUUUAGUGGGGGAGAAAGGGGUAAAACCUUGAUCUAUCCCAAAAAUAAGCUCGGGCUAAGUUCGUGCCAGCAGCCGCCGUAAAAC